GGUGAACGCUGGCGAUGUGCCUAAUACAUGCAAGUCGAGCGAACAGAUAAGGAGCUUGCUCCUUUGAAGUUAGCGGCGGACGGGUGAGUAACACGUGGGUAACCUACCUAUAAGACUGGGAUAACUUCGGGAAACCGGAGCUAAUACCGGAUAACAUUUAGAACCGCAUGGUUCUAAAGUGAAAGAUGGUUUUGCUAUCACUUAUAGAUGGACCCGCGCCGUAUUAGCUAGUUGGUAAGGUAACGGCUUACCAAGGCGACGAUACGUAGCCGCCCUGAGAGGGUGAUCGGCCACACUGGAACUGAGACACGGUCCAGACUCCUACGGGAGGCAGCAGUAGGGAAUCUUCCGCAAUGGGCGAAAGCCUGACGGAGCAACGCCGCGUGAGUGAUGAAGGGUUUCGGCUCGUAAAACUCUGUUAUUAGGGAAGAACAAAUGUGUAAGUAACUGUGCACAUCUUGACGGUACCUAAUCAGAAAGCCACGGCUAACUACGUGCCAGCAGCCGCAGUAA
This 513-nucleotide ribosomal RNA is filed under the name uncultured bacterium. RNAcentral describes it as "partial 16S ribosomal RNA". It matches the Rfam family "Bacterial small subunit ribosomal RNA", at positions 28 to 523 of the family's 1533-position model. The record is from RNAcentral.